CCUACGGGUGGCAGCAGUGGGGAAUCUUGCGCAAUGGGGGAAACCCUGACGCAGCGACGCCGCGUGCGGGAUGAAGGCCUUCGGGUUGUAAACCGCUUUCAGCAGGGACGAGGCCGCAAGGUGACGGUACCUGCAGAAGAAGCUCCGGCUAAAUACGUGCCAGCAGCCGCGGUAAUACGUAGGGAGCAAGCGUUAUCCGGAUUCAUUGGGCGUAAAGCGCUCGUAGGCGGUCUGUUAGGUCGGUAAGUUAAAUCCGGGGGCUCAACCCCCGUCCGCUUCCGAUACCGGCAGACUUGAGUUUGGUAGGGGAAGGUGGAAUUCCUAGUGUAGCGGUGGAAUGCGCAGAUAUUAGGAAGAACACCGGUGGCGAAGGCGGCCUUCUGGGCCAUAACUGACGCUGAGGAGCGAAAGCUAGGGGAGCGAACAGGAUUAGAUACCCCUGUAGUC
RNAcentral lists this ribosomal RNA (447 nucleotides) under uncultured Atopobium sp. Its description in RNAcentral is "bacterial SSU rRNA". It matches the Rfam family "Bacterial small subunit ribosomal RNA", at positions 338 to 795 of the family's 1533-position model. Lineage: Bacteria; Bacillati; Actinomycetota; Coriobacteriia; Coriobacteriales; Atopobiaceae. The record is from RNAcentral.